GUUCCUUUGUAGGCGACAAGAACCCGUGCUGGUGUAUAAUAAUCGCCGUUUCUGUCUCUCACCUACAAACAG
Molecule: microRNA precursor, 72 nt
Filed under: Mus pahari (shrew mouse)
Lineage: Eukaryota; Metazoa; Chordata; Mammalia; Rodentia; Muridae
Description: microRNA 6896 (MGP_PahariEiJ_G0007459.1)
Source: RNAcentral